This is a small nucleolar RNA of Acomys russatus (golden spiny mouse), 126 nucleotides long. RefSeq annotates it as small nucleolar RNA SNORA11. NCBI's taxonomy places the organism in Eukaryota, Metazoa, Chordata, Mammalia, Rodentia, Muridae. The transcript has a single exon. The record is from RefSeq and is a predicted model, not a curated record.
AGGGUGUGCUCAGAGCAAAGGGCUUAAAGAAUGACUCCUUUGUUUACAACACGUCCAACAGAAAUCUGGAGCCAUUCUGAUAAGAAGCACAAUUGUGUCUUUUCUGUGAACAAAUUUUCUACACAG